AUUACAGAAAUGUCCAUGCUUUUCCACUUAAACAGUCCUCUUUAGAUUUCUGUUAAUUAAUUAAUAAUUCUAUUUCUUGUUACAAAUUCAGACAUUCAUUACAAAGAAUAUCCCCAGGCAUUUAAUAUUACAUGGACAUUUACUGUUAAAGCAGAACAAAAACGCUUUCUCUAUAUAUUUAAUCAAGUUUAUCUAGUGCAGGCCCCCCUUGGGGGCAUGAGAUGGUGCCAGGGGGCCCCAGUUUUAUGACACUUAAAUUGAUCAUAAAUUCUGUGUAAUAAAAAAACUCUAAAAAUAUAGUUACCAACCAACAGCACUACAUUGUAUAAAAUAAUAUGUUGUGUUUAAGUCAAAUUCUAAGUUUGAGUUUGUUUUAUGUCAUCAAUCUUCUUUGGGGGAGCCGUGAAGGGGUGCAACCUACACACCAAAAAGUUUGAAAACCACUGAUCUAGUGGUACAAUAUGAAACAUGGGAUUUCUGAAGAACUUCCACACAAUUCACAGAAAGACGUUUACUACUGGAUAUGAAUCUGAUAAAUUUAUAAGAAGAGGUCAGAUGAGAAAAACAGAGCCGACGUAGACACCGAGCAUGAGGACAAAGUAUUAACAAGCCAGACGCUGUGAGCGGCAAUGGCAGGACUGUGUGAUGAAGGAGAAGCUGGAGGAUUAUAGCCUGUUGUAUCGUCUGCUGUUUUUUUGGCACUUGCUCAGACGGUGAGAUUCUCGGAGACAGUUAAACUGAUCCUUUGUGUCUGAAGACCUGAGAGCCUGCUGACGUGAAGCUAGCAAAGAAAACACAGGGUGAUAAUCAAAAACACAGGGACACACACAGGACUCAAUUCUCAAUGCUGUUUUUAUAAUACAGUACAAAGUGUUUGACAUGUUUAAUGUGGAGAAAGAGAGGUUUUGCAAAGAUUGUAAACUCAUGAUUAUCAACAGGAUGAAGCAGUACAGGUAAUUGUUGAGAUGAGUACAGCGUAGGACUUCCGCUGAGACCACUAGGUUGAGGACGGACAGACUAAGAUAUGAGACUUAACAUUCACUUUGCAUAUUUCAGAGUUUUGUAGCCUGAGAAGAAUUUCAAAGCCUUGUUUUUUUACCGCAUAUGCAUGUACUGUAUGUCAGAAACAGAGAGAUGAUGUAAAAUUUAAUUAAAACACGACAUUUAGUCGAAUGAAAAGACUUCAGUGCACCUUGGUGUUAAAGGCAAAACUACAGACUGUGUUCGAAUGGAAUGUAAGACUCUUAGUAAACAGUCUAGUAAAGAUGGUGACAGACUGACAUAACUUAAUUACAAACCAACACCUUAAAGAGCACAAAUAAGACUAAAAAACAGUUAAGACAAAAAUGCACAUGUACUUUAUGUACUGUAGUGAUGUAUUGAAGCUAUUUAAAAAAAUGAAUUUACCUUAAAAUAAAAAUUCUGUCAUUUACUUACGUCAUUUAAGAGAAACAAAUACAUUUGCUGUAGCUGCUUUUUCAAUAAUAAUAAAAAAAGAAAAUGGAGAUGAGCUCUGCAAAUGACAACAAAAGUUUGAUAAUAGUUGUGUACAAAAGUCAAAGCCU
Non-coding RNA from Misgurnus anguillicaudatus (oriental weatherfish), 1565 nucleotides. The record is from RefSeq and is a predicted model, not a curated record. Lineage: Eukaryota; Metazoa; Chordata; Actinopteri; Cypriniformes; Cobitidae.